UAAUUUAAGAGUUUGAUCCUGGCUCAGAAUGAAUGCUUGUAAUAGGCUUAAGACAUGCAAGUUGUGCGAUUUUAGCAGCGAACGGGUGAGUAACGCGUAAGAAUUUACCUAAGAGUUCGGUGAGUAAAAUAAAUAGAUUUUAAUCAAAUCCCGGAUAAAAAAAGAAAAAUCGCUCUUAGAGAAGCUUGCGUAAGAUUAGGUAGUUGGUGAGGUAAAAGCUCCACCAAGCCAAAGAUCUUUAGCUGGUUUGAAAGAACGUCCAGCCACACUGGGACUGAGACACGGCCCAGACUUUUUCGAAAGGCAGCAGUCGGGAAUCUUGGACAAUGGGCGAAAGCCUGAUCCAGCCAUAUUACGUGAAGGAAGAAGGCUUUUGUGUUGUAAACUUCUUUACAAAAUAUUUUUGUAUAAAAAGCCCCGGCAAAAUCUGUGCCAGCAGCCGCGGUAAUACAGAUGGGGCUAGUGUUAUUCGGAUUGAUUGGGCGUAAAGGGUACGUAGGCCGUUUCGUAUUGGUGUACCGUAACUAUCUUUUAUAAAAAGAAUCGCGGCUUAUAUUGAUUAAUCGAUGACAGACACCACGAGACUAGAGUGUGGUAGAGGAAAGUGGAAUUUUGAGUGGAGAGAUAAAAUUCAUAGAUAUUCAAAGGAACACCGAAAACGAAGGUAGCUUUCUUGGCCACCACUGACGCUGAUGUACGAAAGCAUGGGGAGUGAAUGGGAUUAGAUACCCCAGUAAUCCAUGCCGUCAACGAUGAGUGUUCACUCCAUGAUUUAGACUAUUGUGGGGUCUAGCUAACGCAUUAAACACUCCGCCUGGGGAGUACGGUCGCAAGGCUGAAACUCAAAGGAAUUGCCGGGGGCUCGUACAAGCGGUGGAUCAUGUGGUUUAAUUCGAAACAACGCGCAAAACCUUACCAAUCCUUGCAUACAAAUAACGAAAACUUUUUAACUAAAGAAUAUUCUAGAUUUGAACAGGUGCUGCAUGGCUGUCGUCAGCUCGUGUCGUGAGAUGUUGGGUUAAGUCCUUAAACGAGCGAAACCCCUUUUUCUGUAAAAACAGAAAGACUGCCGGUGACAAAUCGGAGGAAGGAAGGGAUGAUGUCAAGUCCUCAUGGCCCUUAUGGACUGGGCUACACACGUGAUACAGUGGCAAUCACAAUGGGAUGCAAUGAUGCAAGUCGGAGCGAACCCUUAAAAAUUAUCAGGUUCGGAUUGUUCUCUGCAACUCGAGAACAUGAAGUUGGAAUCGCCAGUAAUCGUGGAUCAGCACGCCACGGUGAACCUGUACCCGAGCCUUGGACACCUCGCCCGUCACAUUGCGGAAGUUUGUUUGGCUCGAAAAAUAACUAUAGGUUCGAAAUAUAUUUUUCUAUUAGAUACCAAUCAAAAUAAAUUAUAUAUUUUUUUCUCUACAUAGCUAUUUCACAGUAAGAUAGAUAACUGCAAUGAAGUCGUAACAUGGUUGGGGUUGGGGAACCAGUCCCAGGAGUGAAUCCUUU
This 1500-nucleotide ribosomal RNA is filed under the name Tetraselmis marina. RNAcentral's name for it is "SSU rRNA". It matches the Rfam family "Bacterial small subunit ribosomal RNA". Lineage: Eukaryota; Viridiplantae; Chlorophyta; Chlorodendrophyceae; Chlorodendrales; Chlorodendraceae. The record is from RNAcentral.